This 253-nucleotide ribosomal RNA is filed under the name uncultured Armatimonadota bacterium. Its description in RNAcentral is "uncultured Armatimonadetes bacterium partial 16S ribosomal RNA". It matches the Rfam family "Bacterial small subunit ribosomal RNA", at positions 524 to 776 of the family's 1533-position model. The record is from RNAcentral. Lineage: Bacteria; Bacillati; Armatimonadota.
UACGUAGGGGGCGAGCGUUGUCCGAAGUUACUGGGCGUAAAGCGCGCGUAGGCGGGGAAGCAAGUCCGCUGUGAAAGCCCGGGGCUCAACCCCGGAGGGUCGGCGGAUACUGUUUUUCUUGAGGGAGGCAGGGAGAAGUGGAAUGGCUGGUGUAGCGGUGAAAUGCGUAGAUAUCAGUCGGAACACCGGUGGCGAAGGCGGCUUCUUGGGCCUUACCUGACGCUGAGGCGCGAAAGCUGGGGGAGCGAACGGG